UGGCUCUCGCAUCGAUGAAGAACGCAGCGAAAUGCGAUAAGUAAUGUGAAUUGCAGAAUUCAGUGAAUCAUCGAAUCUUUGAACGCACCUUGCACUCCUUGGUAUUCCGAGGAUGUAUGCCUGUUUGAGUGUCAUUAAAUUCUCAAAUAAUCUAGUCUUUUUCAAAAGACUAUGGUUACUUUGGAUGUGAGGGUUUAUGCUGGCUUUUCAAAGUCUUAGCUCCCUUUAAAUAUAUUAGUGAGAUUAGCUUUUUCUAUUCACUAGAGUGUGAUAAUAUCUACGCUCGUUUGAAUGCAAGAGCAAUUUAAACUCGCUUCUAAUUUGUCUUAUUCAGACAACUUUUUAACCAAUCGACCUCAAAUCAGGUAGGACUACCCGCUGA
This 382-nucleotide unclassified non-coding RNA is filed under the name uncultured fungus. RNAcentral's name for it is "partial contains 5.8S ribosomal RNA and internal transcribed spacer 2". The stretch from base 1 to 134 matches the Rfam family "5.8S ribosomal RNA", at positions 22 to 154 of the family's 154-position model. The record is from RNAcentral. Lineage: Eukaryota; Fungi.